This 503-nucleotide ribosomal RNA is filed under the name uncultured bacterium. Its description in RNAcentral is "bacterial SSU rRNA". It matches the Rfam family "Bacterial small subunit ribosomal RNA", at positions 28 to 532 of the family's 1533-position model. The record is from RNAcentral.
GAUGAACGCUAGCGGGAGGCUUAACACAUGCAAGUCGAGGGGUAGGGGAGCAAUCCCCGAGACCGGCGGACGGGUGCGUAACGCGUAUGCAACUUGCCUUAUACAGGGGGAUAGCCCGUGGAAACGCGGAUUAAUACCCCAUAUGUCAUUUGGGUCGCAUGGUCUGGAUGAUAAAACUGAGGUGGUAUAAGAUGGGCAUGCGUCUGAUUAGCUGGUUGGUAAGGUAACGGCUUACCAAGGCGACGAUCAGUAGGGGUUCUGAGAGGAUAAUCCCCCACACUGGUACUGAGACACGGACCAGACUCCUACGGGAGGCAGCAGUGAGGAAUAUUGGUCAAUGGGCGCGAGCCUGAACCAGCCAUUCCGCGUGAAGGAAGAAGGCCUUAUGGGUUGUAAACUUCUUUUCUGUAAGAAGAAAAGUCCCGACGUGUCGGGAUGUGACGGUAUUAUAGGAAUAAGCAUCGGCUAACUCCGUGCCAGCAGCCGCGGUAAGUGACGUCAGA